Molecule: ribosomal RNA, 875 nt
Filed under: Microcyclosporella sp. CBS 118960
Lineage: Eukaryota; Fungi; Ascomycota; Dothideomycetes; Mycosphaerellales; Mycosphaerellaceae
Description: eukaryotic LSU rRNA
Rfam family: Eukaryotic large subunit ribosomal RNA
Source: RNAcentral
CUUAAGCAUAUCAAUAAGCGGAGGAAAAGAAACCAACAGGGAUUGCCCUAGUAACGGCGAGUGAAGCGGCAACAGCUCAAAUUUGAAAUCUGGCGCAAGCCCGAGUUGUAAUUUGUAGAGGAUGCUUCUGGGCAGCGGCCGGUCUAAGUUCCUUGGAACAGGACGUCACAGAGGGUGAGAAUCCCGUAUGUGACCGGCGCGCACCCUCCACGUAGCUCCUUCGACGAGUCGAGUUGUUUGGGAAUGCAGCUCUAAAUGGGAGGUAAAUUUCUUCUAAAGCUAAAUACCGGCCAGAGACCGAUAGCGCACAAGUAGAGUGAUCGAAAGAUGAAAAGCACUUUGGAAAGAGAGUUAAAAAGCACGUGAAAUUGUUGAAAGGGAAGCGCUUGCAACCAGACUCCGCGGCGGUGUUCCGCCGGUCUUCUGACCGGUCCACUCGCCGCCGCGGGGCCAACAUCGUCUGGGGCCGCCGGACAAGACUGGAGGAAUGUAGCUCCCUCGGGAGUGUUAUAGCCUUCAGUGAUGCGGCGCGUCCCGGGCGAGGUCCGCGCUUCGGCAAGGAUGUUGGCGUAAUGGUUGCCAGCGGCCCGUCUUGAAACACGGACCAAGGAGUCUAACAUCUAUGCGAGUGUUCGGGUGUCAAACCCCUACGCGUAAUGAAAGUGAACGGAGGUGGGAGCUUCGGCGCACCAUCGACCGAUCCUGAUGUCCUCGGAUGGAUUUGAGUAAGAGCAUAGCUGUUGGGACCCGAAAGAUGGUGAACUAUGCCUGAAUAGGGUGAAGCCAGAGGAAACUCUGGUGGAGGCUCGCAGCGGUUCUGACGUGCAAAUCGAUCGUCAAAUUUGGGUAUAGGGGCGAAAGACUAAUCGAACCAU